Molecule: non-coding RNA, 134 nt
Organism: Triticum aestivum (bread wheat)
Lineage: Eukaryota; Viridiplantae; Streptophyta; Magnoliopsida; Poales; Poaceae
Source: Rfam
CAACUACUCCUCUGUCCCAAAUUUCUUGUCUUAGAUUUGUCUAGAUACGGAUGUAUCUAAUACUAAAAUGUGACUUGAUACAUCCGUAUCUAGACAAAUCUAAGACAAGAAUUUUCGGACGGAGGGAGUACUUU